AGCCGAUUGCACAAGCUGCCACCCACACUGGUGUUGCAAGGCCAACAGUCAGCCUGAAUCACCACCCUACAGCAGCCUGUGUUCCUUCCAACGCCUGGCUUCAGCUUACCGAUUCAAGAUGCAAGAAAGUAAAAUGUCGGUAUUGGUGACCAAGAAAGCAGGUCAGCCCCUGGUUGCGUUGGAGAGGGAUGCAGCCUGGGUGUUGGGAGAGAGCUCCACUCCUGAGUCACAGUGCCUCUGGGUUCUGUGGUUCCACUCCGUGUGAAAGGUCCUUCUGUGGCAUACUUGCAAGGCUGCCUUCAUUCAGUCUAGGAGAGAAUAUUGCUUCAAUUGGAACAGAGGAAUCAUUAUAUGGAAAACAACAACAACGACAACAACAAACAAACACCACUUGUGCUGGGCUCUGCUCUGUGGACACAGAACCCGUGAAGAGAUGGGUGGCUUCUGCCUUCUAUUGGCAUGCAACUCUGCUCAGGAAGCAAAAAAAGUUUUGGAACCCAUGUACCAUCCAGAAACAAGGACUUGGCACGGGUGGGAAAAUUGCCUGUAUUGAAUUAAAUUGUGUUGUACUGUGGAUUGGCAGGGGGAAAAGAGGUGUGGAGUGGCCCAUGCAUGUAACUGGCAAAAACACCCAUACUAGAGUAUUAAUUAAAGCCUGCUGAGUAACGAUGACCAUGGAGAUGGAAGGAA
Molecule: long non-coding RNA, 690 nt
Organism: Peromyscus leucopus (white-footed mouse)
Lineage: Eukaryota; Metazoa; Chordata; Mammalia; Rodentia; Cricetidae
Exons: 3
Source: RefSeq, a predicted model, not a curated record